CUAGCUCUGAUACCAGUGAAAAUGUAGUCUCGACAAACUGUCACGGACACAAAAUAGAGACUUGAAAUCUAAGAAGAAGUUCAAGAAGAAGUGGCAAAACUAGAUUAAACAGAUGAGUACAAGAACAACACCAGAAAGGUGAGCUAGAACUCCAAGAGAUGUGUUGUCGAGACUGAAGAACCCUUCAGCCUCGACUCCUAUAUAUACUACUGAAUAGGAAGCUUCUCGAGCUACUUCCGCUAACUAGGACGCUUCUCCAACAACUUCUACUAAUUAGAAAACUUCUCGAGCAACUUCCUAGAAUCUAUCAGAAUAUUCUAGAACCUUCUAAGAAUAUUCUAGAACCUUCUAAGAGAAUCUUUAGGGAAUAUUCUAAGAAUCUUCUAGAACCUUCUAAAGGAAUCUUUAGAGAAUCUUUAG
This 420-nucleotide long non-coding RNA is filed under the name Physcomitrium patens. Its description in RNAcentral is "long non-coding RNA (PPAT_LNC010102)". The record is from RNAcentral. Lineage: Eukaryota; Viridiplantae; Streptophyta; Bryopsida; Funariales; Funariaceae.